This 84-nucleotide transfer RNA is filed under the name Candidatus Methylacidiphilum infernorum. Its description in RNAcentral is "tRNA-Tyr". It matches the Rfam family "tRNA". From Rfam's summary of the family: Transfer RNA (tRNA) molecules are approximately 80 nucleotides in length. Their secondary structure includes four short double-helical elements and three loops (D, anti-codon, and T loops). Further hydrogen bonds mediate the characteristic L-shaped molecular structure. tRNAs have two regions of fundamental functional importance: the anti-codon, which is responsible for specific mRNA codon recognition, and the 3' end, to which the tRNAs corresponding amino acid is attached (by aminoacyl-tRNA synthetases). tRNAs cope with the degeneracy of the genetic code in two manners: having more than one tRNA (with a specific anti-codon) for a particular amino acid; and 'wobble' base-pairing, i.e. permitting non-standard base-pairing at the 3rd anti-codon position. The record is from RNAcentral. Lineage: Bacteria; Pseudomonadati; Verrucomicrobiota; Methylacidiphilae; Methylacidiphilales; Methylacidiphilaceae.
GGGCAGAUACCCAAGUGGCCAAAGGGGGCAGACUGUAAAUCUGCUGGCUUUACGCCUUCGCUGGUUCGAAUCCAGCUCUGCCCA